GAUGAACGCUGGCGGCAGGCUUAACACAUGCAAGUCGAGGGGCAGCAUAAUGGAUAGCAAUAUCUAUGGUGGCGACCGGCGCACGGGUGCGUAACGCGUAUGCAACCUACCUUUAACAGGGGGAUAACGCUGAGAAAUUUGUACUAAUACCCCAUAAUAUCAUAGAAGGCAUCUUUUAUGGUUGAAAAUUCCGCUGGUUAGAGAUGGGCAUUCGUUGUAUUAGCUAGUUGGUGGGGUAACGGCUCACCAAGGCGACGAUACAUAGGGGGACGGAGGGGUUGACACCCCAGACUGGUACCGCGCACCGGACCACAAUGCUACGGGACGGAGCAGUAAGGAAGACAGGGGAAGGGACGCUAGUCCGAACCAGCCAUGCCGGGUGCAGAAGCACGGCUCUAUGAGUUGUAAACUGCUUUUGUAAAAGGGCAACCGCAGAUAACUGUGCCUGUCUGACGGUAUCGUAAGAAUAAGAACCGGCUAACUCCGUG
RNAcentral lists this ribosomal RNA (488 nucleotides) under uncultured bacterium. Its description in RNAcentral is "partial 16S ribosomal RNA". It matches the Rfam family "Bacterial small subunit ribosomal RNA", at positions 28 to 507 of the family's 1533-position model. The record is from RNAcentral.